GAGUUUGAUCCUGGCUCAGAUUGAACGCUGGCGGCAGGCCUAACACAUGCAAGUCGAGCGGUAGAGAGAAGCUUGCCUCUCUUGAGAGCGGCGGACGGGUGAGUAAUGCCUAGGAAUCUGCCUGGUAGUGGGGGAUAACGCUCGGAAACGGACGCUAAUACCGCAUACGUCCUACGGGAGAAAGCAGGGGACCUUCGGGCCUUGCGCUAUCAGAUGAGCCUAGGUCGGAUUAGCUAGUUGGUGAGGUAAUGGCUCACCAAGGCGACGAUCCGUAACUGGUCUGAGAGGAUGAUCAGUCACACUGGAACUGAGACACGGUCCAGACUCCUACGGGAGGCAGCAGUGGGGAAUAUUGGACAAUGGGCGAAAGCCUGAUCCAGCCAUGCCGCGUGUGUGAAGAAGGUCUUCGGAUUGUAAAGCACUUUAAGUUGGGAGGAAGGGCAGUAAAUUAAUACUUUGCUGUUUUGACGUUACCGUACAGAAUAAGCACCGGCUAACUCUGUGCCAGCACG
This 512-nucleotide ribosomal RNA is filed under the name uncultured bacterium. RNAcentral's name for it is "bacterial SSU rRNA". It matches the Rfam family "Bacterial small subunit ribosomal RNA", at positions 9 to 515 of the family's 1533-position model. The record is from RNAcentral.